Molecule: ribosomal RNA, 579 nt
Filed under: uncultured bacterium
Lineage: Bacteria
Description: bacterial SSU rRNA
Rfam family: Bacterial small subunit ribosomal RNA
Source: RNAcentral
ACGGGUGAGUAAUGCUUAGGAAUCUGCCCAGUAGUGGGGGACAACAGUCGGAAACGGCUGCUAAUACCGCAUACGCCCUACGGGGGAAAGCAGGGGAUCUUCGGACCUUGCGCUAUUGGAUGAGCCUAAGUCGGAUUAGCUAGUUGGUGGGGUAAAGGCCUACCAAGGCGACGAUCCGUAGCUGGUCUGAGAGGAUGAUCAGCAACAUCGGGACUGAGACACGGCCCGAACUCCUACGGUAGGCAGCAGUGGGGAAUAUUGGACAAUGGGGGCAACCCUGAUCCAGCCAUGCCGCGUGUGUGAAGAAGGCUUUCGGGUUGUAAAGCACUUUCAGCGAGGAGGAAGGCCUUAAAGUUAAUACCUUUAAGGAUUGACGUUACUCGCAGAAGAAGCACCGGCUAACUCCGUGCCAGCAGCCGCGGUAAUACGGAGGGUGCAAGCGUUAAUCGGAAUUACUGGGCGUAAAGCGCGCGUAGGUGGUUUGGUAAGCGAGAUGUGAAAGCCCCGGGCUUAACCUGGGAACGGCAUUUCGAACUGUCAGACUAGAGUGUGGUAGAGGGUAGUGGAAUUUCCUGUGUA